RNAcentral lists this long non-coding RNA (1480 nucleotides) under Aquilegia coerulea. Its description in RNAcentral is "long non-coding RNA (ACOE_LNC001909)". The record is from RNAcentral. Lineage: Eukaryota; Viridiplantae; Streptophyta; Magnoliopsida; Ranunculales; Ranunculaceae.
UCACAAAACACACCAAAAGUUGUAAAGUACAGUUUGCUUCUUCAAGAGGUUAAGAACAUAAAUCUAUCCUAGGAGAAUCAGUCCAUUAAUAAUCAUCAGCAAAGUACUUCUCUUCGACAUCAUGAUCAGCUUAUCUGAAUCAGUCUAUCAUGGAGAAAUCAACAUCAAAUAGACCUGAAAUUAUUGAUUACAUGUUAGCAAGUGGCCAUGUUCAACAAUACUGUAAGCUAAAUUGCUAGGAUAUCUUAACAAAUUAAACAAGUAAACAUGAUGUUCACGAGUACUACACACAUCAUAGAGAUUGCAAUGUUUUCCUUAAAUAAAUAAGCAUGCCUUUCACAUGUAACGUACUGCACAUCCAAUGUCAAUCAAUGGAUUACUAAGAAGAUGGUCUGACUAAGUGGCUUAUGUCUAAUUUGGUGGAUCUGCACCACAAGGAUUAUUAGACUAGCUUCCAAGUCCAAUUUCUGGUUUUCAAACUUCUUUCACAGACUACUACAAGUCUAUAACAACAAUAAGACAAACACGCUCAAUACCAAUUACAAACCACUUCCACAUUUUAUUUUACUCGUUACUCAGACACUUCGGACACUGUUUAUGAUAUUGUGAAUUGAACCAAAUUGAUCGACAUAUGAAAGCCUACUUCGUUCUUGACUUAAAACACAAAAUUCUUUUAAAACACACAAUUUGGAAUUUUGUGUUCAAAGAUAUAAAACAAAUUAGAAAAACAGUGAAUUAGUGACUAGCUUGGUCAUUGUCAAGAUUGAGAACACAAAAAUCAUAAUCAAUACCAUCAGAUUAAAAUCUUGUCUUUGUGCAUAAUUGAACUCUCCAUGAGGUCUACACAACACUAUAGAAAAAAAAUUACUGUCACCUAUUAGUCCUUCAUGGAUAAACUUACUAAUUAGCCAAGGAAUGUAAACAAAAUUGACUAUAUAGACUUAACUACAAGCGUGACUGUGAAUCUGUCACCUAUAUAGUACAUUCAUAAUUUGUAACUACAAGCGUGUGACGCAGAAGAUCACAGUCGUCAAGACUUAACUUUGAUCCAUCUUUAACAAAAGCCAUAUUGGUAUUGGAGAAUAAAAUUGAAAAAAUAGAAAGAGAAAAACAAGUGUAAUACAUACAAAGUAACUUAAAUGAAUAAGAAAAAGAAGACAAGACAGAAAUAAAUAAAUAAAUAAAAACAUUAUAUAAGCAAAUAAAAAGAAAUAGAUAUGGAGAUUAAUUGAUUGACUGACUUAACAACAACAAAUGGAGAAGAAGAUAAAGAUUUCUAAUUGAAAUGAAAUCAAGAGAAUGAUUAAAAGUUAAAACCCUAAGUAGAGAAUGGUUGUAUAUCAUACCUUAUUGAGAAGAAUAAGAGAAUCAACUUGAGAGAGAUUAUUGUAUAAAUUAAUCUAAAAGAAGAAGAAGAAGAAUCAUCCUUCGUUGGUUCAUGGUGGUUACUGUUGCGGCUAAGGAGAAAGAAAGAACAACC